CAGCCGUAAACUAUGCUCGCUAGGUGUCAGGCAUGGCGCGACCGUGUCUGGUGCCGCAGGGAAGCCGUGAAGCGAGCCACCUGGGAAGUACGGCCGCAAGGCUGAAACUUAAAGGAAUUGGCGGGGGAGCACAACAACGGGUGGAGCCUGCGGUUUAAUUGGAUUCAACGCCGGACAUCUCACCGGAUAAGACAGCUGAAUGAUUGUCAAUCUGAAGGUUUCACAUGACUAGCUGAGAGGAGGUGCAUGGCGUAGACGUCU
Molecule: ribosomal RNA, 261 nt
Filed under: uncultured archaeon
Lineage: Archaea
Description: partial 16S ribosomal RNA
Rfam family: Archaeal small subunit ribosomal RNA
Source: RNAcentral